RNAcentral lists this unclassified non-coding RNA (502 nucleotides) under uncultured Diversispora. RNAcentral's name for it is "SSU rRNA". It matches the Rfam family "Eukaryotic small subunit ribosomal RNA", at positions 591 to 1092 of the family's 1831-position model. The record is from RNAcentral. Lineage: Eukaryota; Fungi; Glomeromycota; Glomeromycetes; Diversisporales; Diversisporaceae.
CCAAUAGCGUAUAUUAAAGUUGUUGCAGUUAAAAAGCUCGUAGUUGAACUUCGGGGUUUACUUAUUGGUCAGGCUUAAUUGUCUGCACUGGUAAGAUGAAUCUCUACCUUCUGAGGAACUUUCAUGCCAUUUAUUUGGUGUGAUUGGAAAUCAGGACUGUUACUUUGAAAAAAUUAGAGUGUUUAAAGCAGGCUAACGUCUGAAUACAUUAGCAUGGAAUAAUGAAAUAGGACGGACUGAUUCUAUUUCGUUGGUUUCUAGGAUCACCGUAAUGAUUAAUAGGGAUAGUUGGGGGCAUUAGUAUUCAAUUGUCAGAGGUGAAAUUCUUGGAUUUAUUGAAGACUAACUACUGCGAAAGCAUUUGCCAAGGAUGUUUUCAUUAAUCAAGAACGAAAGUUAGGGGAUCGAAGACGAUCAGAUACCGUCGUAGUCUUAACCAUAAACUAUGCCGACUAGGGAUCGGACGAAGUUAAUUUUAUAAUGACGCGUUCGGCACCUUACG